GAUGAACGCUAGCGGCAGGCCUAACACAUGCAAGUCGAGGGAGGAGCUUUCGGGCUUCGACCGGCGUACGGGUGCGUAACGCGUAUACAAUCUGCCUUUCACAUAGGGAUAGCCCGAAGAAAUUUGGAUUAAUACCUAAUGGUAUAUAGAGGUGGCAUCACCUUCAUAUUAAAGCUGAGGCGGUGAAAGAUGAGUAUGCGUUCUAUUAGCUAGUUGGAGAGGUAACGGCUCCCCAAGGCGACGAUAGAUAGGGGUUCUGAGAGGGAUAUCCCCCACACUGGUACUGAGAUACGGACCAGACUCCUACGGGAGGCAGCAGUGAGGAAUAUUGGACAAUGGUCGGAAGACUGAUCCAGCCAUGCCGCGUGCAGGAAGACGGCCUUAUGGGUUGUAAACUGCUUUUGCAGGGGAAGAAUAAGGACUACGCGUAGUUUGAUGACGGUACUCUGCGAAUAAGCAUCGGCUAACUCCGUG
RNAcentral lists this ribosomal RNA (474 nucleotides) under uncultured bacterium. RNAcentral describes it as "partial 16S ribosomal RNA". It matches the Rfam family "Bacterial small subunit ribosomal RNA", at positions 28 to 507 of the family's 1533-position model. The record is from RNAcentral.